This 443-nucleotide ribosomal RNA is filed under the name uncultured bacterium. RNAcentral describes it as "partial 16S ribosomal RNA". It matches the Rfam family "Bacterial small subunit ribosomal RNA", at positions 338 to 795 of the family's 1533-position model. The record is from RNAcentral.
CCUACGGGUGGCAGCAGUGGGGAAUAUUGGGCAAUGGGCGCAAGCCUGACCCAGCAACGCCGCGUGAAGGAAGAAGGCUUUCGGGUUGUAAACUUCUUUUCUGAGGGACGAAGAAAGUGACGGUACCUCAGGACUAAGCCACGGCUAACUACGUGCCAGCAGCCGCGGUAAUAAGUAGGUGGCAAGCGUUAUCCGGAUUUAUUGGGUGUAAAGGGCGUGUAGGCGGGAAAGCAAGUCAGAUGUGAAAACUCAGGGCUCAACCCUGAGCCUGCAUUUGAAACUGUUUUUCUUGAGUGCUGGAGAGGCAAUCGGAAUUCCUGGUGUAGCGGUGAAAUGCGUAGAUAUCAGGAGGAACACCGGUGGCGAAGGCGGCCUGCUGGACUGCAACUGACGUUGAGGCCCGAAAGCGUGGGGAGCAAACAGGAUUAGAUGCCCUGGUAGUC